This 498-nucleotide ribosomal RNA is filed under the name uncultured bacterium. Its description in RNAcentral is "partial 16S ribosomal RNA". It matches the Rfam family "Bacterial small subunit ribosomal RNA", at positions 28 to 508 of the family's 1533-position model. The record is from RNAcentral.
GAUGAACGCUGGCGGCGUGCCUAAUACAUGCAAGUCGAGCGAACAGACGAGGAGCUUGCUCCUCUGACGUUAGCGGCGGACGGGUGAGUAACACGUGGAUAACCUACCUAUAAGACUGGGAUAACUUCGGGAAACCGGAGAUAAUACCGGAUAAUAUAUUGAACCGCAUGGUUCAAUAGUGAAAGACGGUUUUGCUGUCACUUAUAGAUGGAUCCGCGCCGCAUUAGCUAGUUGGUAAGGUAACGGCUUACCAAGGCAACGAUGCGUAGCCGAGCUGAGAGGGUGGUCGGCCCACCUGGAACUGGGACCCGGUCCAAACUCCUACGGGAGGCAGCAGGAGGGAAUCUUCCGCAAUGGGCGAAAGCCUGACGGAGCAACGCCGCGUGAGUGAUGAAGGGCUUCGGAUCGUAAAACUCUGUUAUUAGGGAAGAACAAAUGUGUAAGUAACUACGCACGUCUUGACGGUACCUAAUCAGAAAGCCACGGCUAACUACGUGC